This 987-nucleotide ribosomal RNA is filed under the name Pseudomonas putida. RNAcentral's name for it is "bacterial SSU rRNA". It matches the Rfam family "Bacterial small subunit ribosomal RNA", at positions 1 to 985 of the family's 1533-position model. The record is from RNAcentral. Lineage: Bacteria; Pseudomonadati; Pseudomonadota; Gammaproteobacteria; Pseudomonadales; Pseudomonadaceae.
UAUAUAGUUUGAUCCUGGCUCAGAUUGAACGCUGGCGGCAGGCCUAACACAUGCAAGUCGAGCGGUAGAGAGGUGCUUGCACCUCUUGAGAGCGGCGGACGGGUGAGUAAUGCCUAGGAAUCUGCCUGGUAGUGGGGGAUAACGUUCGGAAACGAACGCUAAUACCGCAUACGUCCUACGGGAGAAAGCAGGGGACCUUCGGGCCUUGCGCUAUCAGAUGAGCCUAGGUCGGAUUAGCUAGUUGGUGAGGUAAUGGCUCACCAAGGCGACGAUCCGUAACUGGUCUGAGAGGAUGAUCAGUCACACUGGAACUGAGACACGGUCCAGACUCCUACGGGAGGCAGCAGUGGGGAAUAUUGGACAAUGGGCGAAAGCCUGAUCCAANNCAUGCCGCGUGUGUGAAGAAGGUCUUCGGAUUGUAAAGCACUUUAAGUUGGGAGGAAGGGUUGUAGAUUAAUACUCUGCAAUUUUGACGUUACCGACAGAAUAAGCACCGGCUAACUCUGUGCCAGCAGCCGCGGUAAUACAGAGGGUGCAAGCGUUAAUCGGAAUUACUGGGCGUAAAGCGCGCGUAGGUGGUUCGUUAAGUUGGAUGUGAAAGCCCCGGGCUCAACCUGGGAACUGCAUUCAAAACUGUCGAGCUAGAGUAUGGUAGAGGGUGGUGGAAUUUCCUGUGUAGCGGUGAAAUGCGUAGAUAUAGGAAGGAACACCAGUGGCGAAGGCGACCACCUGGACUGAUACUGACACUGAGGUGCGAAAGCGUGGGGAGCAAACAGGAUUAGAUNCCCUGGUAGUCCACNCCGUAAACGAUGUCAACUAGCCGUUGGGAGCCUUGAGCUCUUAGUGGCGCAGCUAACGCAUUAAGUUGACCGCCUGGGGAGUACNNCCNCAAGGUUAAAGGNCAAAUGAAUUGACGGGGGCCCGCACAAGCGGUGGAGCAUGUGUUUUAAUUCGAAGCGAGAGCGAAGAACCUUACCNUCNUCUGAC